Molecule: ribosomal RNA, 425 nt
Filed under: uncultured bacterium
Lineage: Bacteria
Description: partial 16S ribosomal RNA
Rfam family: Bacterial small subunit ribosomal RNA
Source: RNAcentral
GUUAGGAAUAUUGGACAAUGGGCGCAAGCCUGAUCCAGCCAUGCCGCGUGAGUGAUGAAGGCCUUCGGGUUGUAAAGCUCUUUAGCCGAUGAUUAUAAUGACUGUAGUCGGAAAAUAAGCCCCGGCUAACUUCGUGCCAGCAGCCGCGGUAAUACGAAGGGGGCGAGCGUUAUUCGGAAUCACUGGGCGUAAAGCGUGCGUAGGCGGCUUUGCAAGUUGGGAGUGAAAGCCCAGGGCUCAACCCUGGAAUUGCUCUCAAAACUGCAAGGCGCGAAUUCGGGAGAGGAUAGCGGAAUUGUCAGUGUAGCAGUGAAAUGCGUAGAUAUUGACAGGAACACCAGUGGCGUAAGCGGCUAUCUGGACCGAUAUUGACGCUGAGGCACGAAAGCGUGGGGAUCAAACAGGAUUAGAAACCCGUGUAGUCC